AGCGGGGAGAAGGGGGCUGGGUCCCUCCACGGACUGCAAAUCCGCUCGGCCUGGACGUAACCCGUCCGGGGGUUGGUUCGAUUCCAACUCUCCCCU
RNAcentral lists this transfer RNA (96 nucleotides) under Carboxydocella thermautotrophica DSM 16521. RNAcentral's name for it is "Carboxydocella sporoproducens DSM 16521 Selenocysteine transfer RNA". It matches the Rfam family "Selenocysteine transfer RNA". The record is from Rfam by way of RNAcentral. Lineage: Bacteria; Bacillati; Bacillota; Clostridia; Eubacteriales; Clostridiales Family XVI. Incertae Sedis.